This 468-nucleotide ribosomal RNA is filed under the name uncultured bacterium. RNAcentral's name for it is "SSU rRNA". It matches the Rfam family "Bacterial small subunit ribosomal RNA", at positions 26 to 517 of the family's 1533-position model. The record is from RNAcentral.
AGGACGAACGCUGGCGGCGUGCUUAACACAUGCAAGUCGAGCGGAAAGGCCCUUCGGGGUACUCGAGCGGCGAACGGGUGAGUAACACGUGAGCAACCUGCCCUUAGCUCCGGGAUAGCUCCGGGAAACCGGAAUUAAUACCGGAUACGACCACGGCCGACAUCUGCUGUGGUGGAAAGGAUUCCGGCUAAGGAUGGGCUCGCGGCCUAUCAGCUAGUUGGUGGAGUAACGGCCCACCAAGGCGACGACGGGUAGCCGGCCUGAGAGGGCGACCGGCCACGACUGGGACUGAGACACGGCCCAGACUCCUACGGGAGGCAGCAGUGGGGAAUUUUGCGCAAUGGGGGAAACCCUGACGCAGCAACGCCGCGUGGAGGAUGAAGUAUCUUGGUACGUAAACUCCUUUCGAUUGGGAAGAUAAUGACGGUACCAAUAGAAGAAGCCCCGGCUAACUUCGUGCCAGAGCGC